UUCGCCCUUAGAGUUUGAUCCUGGCUCAGGAUGAACGCUGGCGGCGUGCCUAACACAUGCAAGUCGAACGGAGUUCUUAAGGAAUGCGACUUCGGUCAAAUGACUUUUGAACUUAGUGGCGGACGGGUGAGUAACGCGUGAGCAACCUGCCUCUCAGAGGGGGAUAACAUUUGGAAACAGAUGCUAAUACCGCAUAAGAUUACAGUACCGCAUGAUACAGUGAUCAAAGGAGCAAUCCGCUGAAAGAUGGGCUCGCGUCCGAUUAGAUAGUUGGUGAGGUAACGGCUCACCAAGUCGACGAUCGGUAGCCGGACUGAGAGGUUGAACGGCCACAUUGGGACUGAGACACGGCCCAGACUCCUACGGGAGGCAGCAGUGGGGAAUAUUGCACAAUGGGCGAAAGCCUGAUGCAGCAACGCCGCGUGAGGGAAGACGGUUUUCGGAUUGUAAACCUCUGUCCUCUGUGAAGAUAGUGACGGUAGCAGAGGAGGAAGCUCCGGCUAACUACGUGCCAGCAGCCGCGGUAAUACGUAGGGAGCAAGCGUUGUCCGGAUUUACUGGGUGUAAAGGGAGCGCAGGCGGGAUAGCAAGUCAGUUGUGAAAACUAUGGGCUCAACCCAUAAACUGCAGUUGAAACUGUUAUUCUUGAGUGGAGUAGAGGCAAGCGGAAUUCCGAGUGUAGCGGUGAAAUGCGUAGAUAUUCGGAGGAACACCAGUGGCGAAGGCGGCUUGCUGGGCUCUAACUGACGCUGAGGCUCGAAAGUGUGGGGAGCAAACAGGAUUAGAUACCCUGGUAGUCCACGCUGUAAACGAUGGAUACUAGGUGUGCGGGGACUGACCCCCCUGCGGGCCGCAGUUAACACAAUAAGUAUCCCACCUGGGGAGUACGAUCGCAAGAUUGAAACUCAAAGGAAUGGACGGGGGCCCGCACAAGCAGUGGAGUAUGUGGUUUAAUUCGAAGCAACGCGAAGAACCUUACCAGGUCUUGACAUCCUACUAACGAGAUAGAGAUAUGUUAGGUGCCCUUCGGGGAAAGUAGAGACAGGUGGUGCAUGGUUGUCGUCAGAUAGUGUCGUGAGAUGUUGGGUUAAGUCCCGCAACGAGCGCAACCCUUGCUAUUAGUUGCUACGCAAGAGCACUCUAAUAGGACUGCCGUUGACAAAACGGAGGAAGGUGGGGACGACGUCAAGUCAUCAUGCCCUUUAUGACUUGGGCUACACACGUACUACAAUGGCGUUAAACAAAGAGAAGCAAGACCGCGAGGUGGAGCAAAACUCAGAAACAACGUCCCAGUUCGGACUGCAGGCUGCAACUCGCCUGCACGAAGUCGGAAUUGCUAGUAAUCGUGGAUCAGCAUGCCACGGUGAAUACGUUCCCGGGCCUUGCACACACCGCUCGUCA
This 1401-nucleotide ribosomal RNA is filed under the name uncultured bacterium. RNAcentral describes it as "16S ribosomal RNA". It matches the Rfam family "Bacterial small subunit ribosomal RNA". The record is from RNAcentral.